Molecule: ribosomal RNA, 253 nt
Filed under: uncultured bacterium
Lineage: Bacteria
Description: partial 16S ribosomal RNA
Rfam family: Bacterial small subunit ribosomal RNA
Source: RNAcentral
UACAGGGGGGGCAAGCGUUGUUCGGAAUUACUGGGCGUAAAGGGCCAGUAGGCGGCCAACUAAGUCACACGUGAAAUCCCCAGGCUUAACCUGGGAACUGCGUGUGAUACUGGAUGGCUUGAAUUCGGGAGAGGGAUGCAGAAUUCCAGGUGUAGCGGUGAAAUGCGUAGAUAUUAGGAGGAAUACCGGUGGCGAAGGCGGCCUUCUGGGCCGAUCUUGACGCUGAGACGCGAAAGCGUGGGGAGCAAACAGG